UACGGAGGGUGCAAGCGUUGCUCGGAAUUAUUGGGCGUAAAGGGUAGGUAGGUGGUCUCAUUUGUCUGGGGUGAAAGCCUUGAGCUUAACUCAAGAAGUGCCCCAGAAACGGUGAGACUGGAGUCCUGGAGAGGGUCGUGGAAUUCCCGGUGUAGCGGUGAAAUGCGUAGAGAUCGGGAGGAACACCAGAGGCGAAAGCGGCGACCUGGACAGGCACUGACACUCAAGUACGAAAGCGUGGGGAGCAAACAGG
This 253-nucleotide ribosomal RNA is filed under the name uncultured bacterium. RNAcentral's name for it is "partial 16S ribosomal RNA". It matches the Rfam family "Bacterial small subunit ribosomal RNA", at positions 524 to 776 of the family's 1533-position model. The record is from RNAcentral.